Molecule: transfer RNA, 72 nt
Filed under: Camelus ferus (Wild Bactrian camel)
Lineage: Eukaryota; Metazoa; Chordata; Mammalia; Artiodactyla; Camelidae
Rfam family: tRNA
About the family: Transfer RNA (tRNA) molecules are approximately 80 nucleotides in length. Their secondary structure includes four short double-helical elements and three loops (D, anti-codon, and T loops).
Source: Rfam by way of RNAcentral
GAAGGUGUAGCGCAGCGGUAGAGCGCGUGCUUAGCACGCACGAAGUCCUGGGUUCAAUCCCCAGUACCUCUG